UGUUGCCAGCAUUCAGUUGGGACUCAUAGGAGACUGCCGGCGUCAAGCCGGAGGAAGGUGGGAUGACGCAAGUCAUCAUGCCCCUUAUGUCCUGGGCUGCACACGUGCUACAAUGGUCGGUACAAUGGGCUGCGAUGCCGCGAGGCGGAGCGAAUCCCAUAAAACCGGCCCCAGUUCGGAUCGAAGGCUGCAACUCGCCUUCGUGAAGUCGGAGUUGCUAGUAAUCGCGGAUCCAGCCAUGCCGCGUUCGAUGUUCCGGCCUU
This 263-nucleotide ribosomal RNA is filed under the name uncultured Coriobacteriaceae bacterium. RNAcentral describes it as "partial 16S ribosomal RNA". It matches the Rfam family "Bacterial small subunit ribosomal RNA", at positions 1113 to 1363 of the family's 1533-position model. Lineage: Bacteria; Bacillati; Actinomycetota; Coriobacteriia; Coriobacteriales; Coriobacteriaceae. The record is from RNAcentral.